UGACUUGUGGUGGGAAGAUGUACAGAGCUGGGCUUUCGUAUCAAAUACCUAGAGUGCAAGCUGAUUUCCGGGGCAAGGAAUUGGCCAGCUUUCUGGCCAAAUGGUCCAGCAGAGCCUGAUGGAGAUGGGUACUGCCUGUGUCACUGUUUCUCUUCUUGCAAACAUAGGAGAGGCCAAAAGGAAUUUUAAAGCAUGCUCAGAGCAUUGUACGCUGAAAUAUUCUUCCCUUUCACAGAUCAUCUGGAAAAGCUCCAGUGGCAGCAAAUCCUGUAGCAGCUGAGGUGUGCGCUGACACCACAGGAUCUGCGCUGGGGGGCAGCUCUGGAGGAGCCGCAGCCUGGAGUCGUGACCGAAGCUUGCUGGGUCUGUGUGGGACGCCCGUGGCCCUCAGGUGAGGGGGAAUCAGGCCCGUGCUGCCCGCAGGUGGGCUGGGGGCUGCGGGUGGGUGUGGGGGGGCUUGGGGCCGGCCACUGGCGGCUGCCUCUCAGCCCGUGCCUCCCGGCCUGCCCCGCGCCCCAGAUCAACCCCCCGCGGGCUCCCCGCCGGGGCUCCUCCCGUGCAGUAACAGGUGUGAGCAUCCAUGCAGCAUUUUGGUGGUCAUGUAUGAUACUGCACACAGCACGAGCCUGCCUUCGGCCGCGGGGAUGUCCCCGUAUGGCCUUUGGGUUCCUUUCUUUAACCCGUACCAUAUCGGUUUAAAAAUCAAAUCGUAGAACUAAGUGGCCUUGCCCUUCCUUCACAGGCAGGUUUUACAGAUGUGGAAGGUAGAAUUUAGAUACACUGCUGAUAUUUUGUUGUUUUCCCUUGAUUUAUUGCAGGAAUAAGUUACUGAUUUAUCUGAAUUCCCAAGCUUUAGUUCCCAGGUAGCUGGGAACGCUGGCAGGCAGGAUUCUUUACUUGACCAGCCUGUGAGGUUCUGCUGGAAGCUGUGUACUUUGCUCUCCCGUUACAUCUGAGCUUCUCUUCAGUUUGACUUUUCUCCUCCAGCCGAGGAGUGCAACUGAGGUCUCAGCUAAGGCAGACACGUGUCCUCACAGGCCUGGGUUGUGAACCUGGCCCCAAAGUGGUCUGGGAUUCUGGAAAAAAAAAAUACUUUCCAAGAGAAAGCAAGGCACUUCUCUUAUUUAUUUUUCUUUGGUGUCCUUCAGGUGCUCAGCACUAAUAUGCUUUUGGCAUUUUUCAAGGUUAAAAUGCUAUGGGGAAGGAUUUUAAAGGCAGCUGGGGGUUGGCGUGCUGCUUUUCUCAGGUGUUUCAGUGGAGCUGAUGCAGAGAAGAUGGAUCUGUGCAUGGCAGAGGUCCCUAGCUUUAGCUGAACUUCUGGCUAACGCCCUGCCUGGGAAAUGUUCUCUGUUCAAAAAACAUUGCGUGAUGUUUUGUGCUAGUCAGUUUGGGGGUUGUUUUGUUUUACUGAGGCAGUGAGCAGUCUCAGGGGGUUCCUUUGAGUUUGCUGUGUACUAGCUAGAGCUGGGAGUUGUUUGUGUAAAACCAACAGGGAAGCCUCUGGGCUUUCAUUUGAAGCUUGCCUGUAACACAAGGGGACUUUGAGUGUAGCUUUCGUAUCUAAAACUGGCCAGCAGCAGGGUAGGCCAAGUACAGCACAGUGCUGAGAUAAUAAAAGUCUGGUGCUCAACUCUCCAGUAAGGGAGCUGAACAGGGAUCUAGACUGGGGGGCUUUCCAGUUAAAUCCUGCCCAGUUGCCAGCAGCCCCGUGUGUGUGUGUGUGAGCAGCUGCCAUGGCUGGCCCUGCCUGGGGAAGGUCCUGCUUAGAGGUGCAGUAGGCAUCAGCUUGUCCGGCCCUCUUCUGCAGCAGGGUUGAAACCAAAGUCUGUGUAAGCUUCUGAGCUGAUAAAAGCACUGCCAUUUUAAAAGGCAGACAUCAGUGGCAAGUGUUUGUUCCAUCAGGGUAAGUAGGAGCACGUGUCUGGAGUAACCUGGGUUCACUGCAUCUCUUCUAACAGUCCACCAGGCUACCUGCAGCUCUCUUUGAGCUUGCCAGGCACGUGCAGGAGCGCUCCCUAGUGCAGCGUUCAGCAGGUGGGCAUGAGAGCUUAAUGUUUUUUCCUCACCUGUGUCGACUCUUACCAGGAAGCAAAAGGUGUUGCUUCUUCCUGCAGACCUCACCUAACAGCGAGUGUUGUGCUUUAGGUAAAGCUGCAGAGGUGAUGCAGUUUAACACCCCCCUUUUGAUCCUUUGGACUGUGUAAGGUGAAUUUCCUGCCCU
Long non-coding RNA from Cairina moschata (Muscovy duck), 2221 nucleotides. NCBI's taxonomy places the organism in Eukaryota, Metazoa, Chordata, Aves, Anseriformes, Anatidae. The record is from Ensembl.